RNAcentral lists this transfer RNA (72 nucleotides) under Capra hircus (goat). It matches the Rfam family "tRNA". From Rfam's summary of the family: Transfer RNA (tRNA) molecules are approximately 80 nucleotides in length. Their secondary structure includes four short double-helical elements and three loops (D, anti-codon, and T loops). Further hydrogen bonds mediate the characteristic L-shaped molecular structure. tRNAs have two regions of fundamental functional importance: the anti-codon, which is responsible for specific mRNA codon recognition, and the 3' end, to which the tRNAs corresponding amino acid is attached (by aminoacyl-tRNA synthetases). tRNAs cope with the degeneracy of the genetic code in two manners: having more than one tRNA (with a specific anti-codon) for a particular amino acid; and 'wobble' base-pairing, i.e. permitting non-standard base-pairing at the 3rd anti-codon position. The record is from Rfam by way of RNAcentral. RNAcentral also lists the same sequence under 1 other name. Lineage: Eukaryota; Metazoa; Chordata; Mammalia; Artiodactyla; Bovidae.
UCCCUGGUGGUCCAGUGGUUAGGACUUCUCCUGCCAAAGCAGGGGGUGCAGGUUUGAUCCCUGUUCUGGGAG